This is a long non-coding RNA of Mus musculus (house mouse), 2382 nucleotides long. RefSeq annotates it as predicted gene, 30461. NCBI's taxonomy places the organism in Eukaryota, Metazoa, Chordata, Mammalia, Rodentia, Muridae. The record is from RefSeq and is a predicted model, not a curated record. The transcript is spliced from 3 exons.
UUUCAGUUUGACUGAUCUCUAAGCUGAGUGCUUGCACCAGCUACUCUUCCUUCCCACCUUCCCUCGGGGUGUCUCCGUUCUCACCCCUCUGCGUGGUUAGCCCCCUAAGACAUUGUGCCACGUGCCCUCAUUGGUAAGACCAUAACAGCUGCUCACAGUCCUCGGUGGCCAUGCUGAGCAGUCCAUGAGUCUGUCCUCACAAAUCUAGUAGAAGUUACAAGAUCUCCUCUGACAGGCACUCCAAAUGCCUGCCUCAGAGUCGGUUAGUGGCCAGCCCCAGGAUCUAGCCUCACGACCACACAGCCUAUCCCAGUGGAGCCCCACUGUUCAUCCCUCCUCAGAGCCUGCCUCUAACCCUAGGUAACUCCUAGGAAGAGGAACCCCUAGUCCCACCAACCAUACUGACCAGGAUGCCUCUGUGGUCCUCAGCUCCCUGUCAGAGGAAGUCCAGUCCUUCUACUAGCGUCUGUAUCUACAGUUGGGGUAAAGAUCUUCCAGAAGCAUCCAGGUACCGAGAACUGAAAGAUGGAGGCUCAAACGGCUCUUCUGGGCAGCUCCGGGAGGACUGGCCCCCACCUGAUCCCGAGUCAGGCAGGACAGGUCACAUCACCAGCUCUUUACAUCCAGGCCUGGUGCUGGAACACCCACCUGGUACUCUGCAAGCGCUCUACCAUGAACCCAACCAUCCCGGCCGAUCUCUUCCUGGAGGCAGAGCCCUCGGGGGCACACCUCCACCCCAGCUCUGUCUGAGAAACCAUCCUUCAUUUCGGAACAAAGCCUUUACCCAGGAACUCUACAAGUGGUUUUGCUUGUGAGAGCCACAUACAGUAAGUACUGUGCCACAUACAGUAAGUACUGUGCCACAUACAGUAAGUACUGUGCCACAUACAGUAAGUACUGUGCCACAUACAGUAAGUACUGUGCCACAUACAGUAAGUACUGUGCCACAUACAGUAAGUACUGUGCCACAGUACAGUAAGUACUGUGCCACAGUACAGUAAGUACUGUGCCACAUACAGUAAGUACUGUGCCACAUACAGUAAGUACUUGGCAUUACUGUGGCAGCCCCACCGCUGAGGGCUGCUCAGGAUGAUGGGCACAGCAGCUUCUAGUGGCCCUGGGCUCAUACAUCUUACACCCAAAUGUAACCUGUUUUCUCUGGAAAAAGGCAGGUGGCCACUGCUGGUACCCACCACUAACUUAACCACACUCAGCCCAAAGGCUGGCUCUAGGCUUGGGGGUGUUGGCCCCAUCCCUGACAGCUCCCAGAGUCCUCAAAACUGAAGGCAAAGCUGGCCUUGGUAGCCUGUGUUCAGCUAACACUUUCAGAAGCGCUAGCCGACGAAGCCCAGCUUUACAGAGCAGUUUGAAAGGUCAUGACCCAGAUAGCAGCUCCCUGCCUAAGUCCAAAGACAGACAUGCUCUCUGAGAGUCAUGCCAGGCUUCAAGGCUGUGAGGCUGGAGGCCUUUCUUUCUCACCCAACCCCUAACAGACAUUUACAUAUUUGUGUGGGUGGCAGUACAGUCCCUAGAAAGCUGGCCCUCAGGGGUGUGGGGCAGACAGCUGGCAUGCGGGCCUGAAGAUAGUCCAUCUUAACUUUCUGAAAGCAGCUGUUCGUGGGCCGUCGCCUUCAAGGAAUCUAGUGCACAGUAAGUCCUCCCUGGGCUCUGACCACGAUGCCACUCGUACCUGACCUUGGAGGGCAAAGGGGUUUGAUGGCUCUGGCACAAGUGGACAUGGCCUCCUGCAUCCUGAUCAGCCUAAUCGAGAGCUCUGCCUUCCAUUCUCCACAAGGAAUAGCAAUUGCCUCUUCCGAUUCUAUAGGAUACCUGAUCCCACAUCAGCGCUCAAGGUCAAGCCUCAGCCCCUCUGCCUUCCUCUUGCCAUCAUCUGUCCCUCAGAGGAGAGCUCUGUCCUCCUUUCCCCACAUUUGGGCCUUACUAAUGCCAAGGGAGACGCGAAACAGAAGUUUCUAUGGAGUUGACCUAUCGUACACAAGACAGCAAGAGGCCUCCAGUCCUAGCAAAGGAAGUAUUGAAGGGACACGCCCAAAGCAGAAGAGGAAGCAGAAGGAAGAGGCUUUUGAGACGUGUCAUCCCAAGGGCUUGCCAAUUCUCAAUGCCCUGGUUCCUUCGACAGAGGGGUUCUCCAAGUAUGAAUCACAAGUCACUGCUUUGAACAAUGUUCCAUUGGGCCCCACCUGGGCCCAGGCUGCUUUAACCCUCAAACCUCCCGCAGUCACACCUAACCCCUGGGUUUUCUCCCCAGUGCUGACCUGGGAGCUUCCAAGACUCCCAGAAACCAACCCCAGGUCUUUAUCCUGCGACCAAGGACAGCUACUUGAGUUCUGGCCUUGAAGGCUAUUUUCCCAGUAUCAGGGA